GAUGAACGCUGGCGGCGUGCUUAACACAUGCAAGUCGAACGGAAAGGCUCCUGCUUGCAGGGGUACUCGAGUGGCGAACGGGUGAGUAACACGUGGGUGAUCUGCCCUGCACUUCGGGAUAAGCCUGGGAAACUGGGUCUAAUACCGGAUAGGACGAUGGUUUGGAUGCCAUUGUGGAAAGCUUUUUCGGUGUGGGAUGAGCUCGCGGCCUAUCAGCUUGUUUGUGGGGUAAUGGCCUACCAAGGCGUCGACGGGUAGCCGGCCUGAGAGGGUGUACGGCCACAUUGGGACUGAGGUACGGCGCAGACUGCAACGGGGGGCAGAAGUGGAGAAUAUUGCACAAUGGGCGCGAGCCUGAUGCAGCGACGCCGCGUGGGGGAAGACGGCCUUCGGGUUGUAAACUCCUUUCGCUAGAGACGAAGCGCAAGUGACGGUACCUAGAGAAGAAGCACCGGCUAACUACGUG
RNAcentral lists this ribosomal RNA (466 nucleotides) under uncultured bacterium. Its description in RNAcentral is "partial 16S ribosomal RNA". It matches the Rfam family "Bacterial small subunit ribosomal RNA", at positions 28 to 507 of the family's 1533-position model. The record is from RNAcentral.